CGACAGACAUGUAUAUGCAGUUGGCACUUGUCAAACAUGGGAGAGCUGCACCUUCAGAAAGGCAGGAACUUUGAACGUUGUUUGCACAGGACGGCCGUCUGAGAGAAGGAGGGUCGGGGAUGCUGAGCCUUUCCACUAAACGUUGGAGCUGCUGCACCGAUCUGCUCUCAUUCAGGCACACGGGAAUGAGUGAGGCCCAGCACGGAUGUGAGGGGAUAAAGUUUGGCUCAGAACACGAAACGAUCUCACUCCCAACUCGUCUGGUACCAACACGAGGUCAGCGCCCCUCGGGAAGGAAACCAAGAGCGAGACGGACCUGUGCAAGACUGUCACAUUUCCUUGGCUGAAAAUCUGGGAGUAUGUGAACAUAUUUUGAAGCCAACCGGUCCCCGUCACAUAUAAUCAGCUCCAUCUCAACUUUCCACAUGUGGCCUUGCAGUAAUGUGAGCUAAACCGAACUGUGUCACUGUGAAUGAGGCACAGUUCACAUUCAGCGCUUUAAAAAGCCCCCGUGGGGAUCGUCACUCCGAGAGACCGAGCGAGAUUGAUUUGAGAGCAGCAGCCUGCAGAGACGGAUUAAAGCUGCGCACCUUUCGCACCCAACAGGAGGCAUCUCGAGUACAACGCCCGGUCCUCACAUGAUGUUAAAGCAUCUCCAGUCGCCCUCAUUAUCCAGGCGCCCUGACACACACACAAGGAGGGAGAGAGAGAGACAUCACCACUGCAGCCACCACUCACAGCAUCCUCGCUGCCACGCCGUGUCUGCCGUGACCCGACGAGGCAGUGAGACUUCACAAAAGCUGACACGGGCUGUUCAAAGGAAUCCGUGGUUUUCAGACGAGAUUUGAUGCUCGUUUGUAACCAGACUGCGGAUGGAAUCUUGCCUGGAGACUUGAAGCACCUGACGUGUCUCAAAGAAUCCAACCGUCAGCUCAUCCUUCACCUGACACCAUGGAAAGGUCAGCGGUUCACACGUUGAUCAAUUGAUCAUCUGAUAGAGUACCUGAUCAAUUGAUGGAUUGGAGGUCCAUUUCAAAAGUGGAAUAUAUUGAUUUGGAGAAAAUUAGAUCCUCAUGUGGACCUCUAUGCGUUGAAGGUGGCCUUGUAGCAAGCUGGACAUUUACUCACAUUUAAAAAAAACCACCCAAAGUAACCAAUGACUGAGUAGUAGUAGUAGAAACAGAGCGUCUAUGUGCUGCACAUCAUGACUGAACGCAUUGGAGGCGGAAUCGCGCCAACGACAAUGUCAAAUAACAGUAUGGUUAGCUGCAAAGACGAUAAAUACACACAAAAUUCAUUAAUAGACAAAUCCAAAGUGUGGACAUCGUACGGGCCAUCGUUCUCCGUUCUGCCAGUCGUGGCAACAUGUGUGGGGGGCUGUGUGAACCAAUCAGGAGCCAGACUUUCUUUCUGCUGGAUCACACCAGCCACGACGCCGGGAUAAACCGCUCUACUUCCUGGACCCCGACUUGGUGAAACACCCAUUCAAAUCUCACCUACUGCUUAGUAAGUGCAUCUAACCCAACAGUUGAGACGACAAUUGCAUUGUGGCAUUUCCACAUCUGUACACCACAGUAAUAUAAACUGUUAAUAAUAAAUCUGUUUAUGGGCAAUAUGGAGUAGUACUGCAC
Gasterosteus aculeatus aculeatus (three-spined stickleback) is the source of this 1631-nucleotide long non-coding RNA. NCBI's taxonomy places the organism in Eukaryota, Metazoa, Chordata, Actinopteri, Perciformes, Gasterosteidae. The record is from Ensembl.